Molecule: ribosomal RNA, 539 nt
Filed under: Streptococcus sp. oral clone BP2-3
Lineage: Bacteria; Bacillati; Bacillota; Bacilli; Lactobacillales; Streptococcaceae
Description: bacterial SSU rRNA
Rfam family: Bacterial small subunit ribosomal RNA
Source: RNAcentral
AGAGUUUGAUCCUGGCUCAGGACGAACGCUGGCGGCGUGCCUAAUACAUGCAAGUAGAACGCACAGUUUAUACCGUAGCUUGCUACACCAUAGACUGUGAGUUGCGAACGGGUGAGUAACGCGUAGGUAACCUGCCUGGUAGCGGGGGAUAACUAUUGGAAACGAUAGCUAAUACCGCAUAAUAUUAAUUAUUGCAUGAUAAUUGAUUAAAAGGUGCAAUUGCACCACUACCAGAUGGACCUGCGUUGUAUUAGCUAGUAGGUGAGGUAACGGCUCACCUAGGCGACGAUACAUAGCCGACCUGAGAGGGUGAUCGGCCACACUGGGACUGAGACACGGCCCAGACUCCUACGGGAGGCAGCAGUAGGGAAUCUUCGGCAAUGGACGAAAGUCUGACCGAGCAACGCCGCGUGAGUGAAGAAGGUUUUCGGAUCGUAAAGCUCUGUUGUAAGAGAAGAACGGGUGUGAGAGUGGAAAGUUCACACUGUGACGGUAUCUUACCAGAAAGGGACGGCUAACUACGUGCCAGCAGCCGCGGU